Molecule: long non-coding RNA, 1501 nt
Filed under: Olea europaea subsp. europaea
Lineage: Eukaryota; Viridiplantae; Streptophyta; Magnoliopsida; Lamiales; Oleaceae
Source: RNAcentral
GUGAUUUGAAAGGUUGUUGGUGGGUAUGGAGAAUGUGGGAAAUAAGUUAGACAGUCUGGAUAUGAAAGUGAAAAAUAUUCAUGAAGAUCAAUGUGUUGGAGUGUCUAAUGUGCGGAGAAGGAAUAGAUGGGAGCCUAUGAAUGAAAUUUGUGGUGCAUAUGAAUAUUGUAGCGAUAGUGAUGAAGAUACAUGGAUUGAGGAUGCAAUAUGGGGUAUGAAAAAUAGAGGCGAUAGGUUUGGAAGAAGGGAUACGAAUUAUUAUGGAUAUGGUGGUGAUAGGAGUAUGAAAACGACAAUCCCAAAAUUUAAGGGUAUGAGUGAUCCCAAGGUGUAGUGGCGUGGGAAGAAAAAGUUGAGUUGAUGUUUGAGUGCCAUAAUUACUCCGGGGAGAAAAAGUUGAAGUUAGUUGUGAACUCAUUUGUGGAUUAUGCUACAAUUUGGUGGGAUCAAUUAACAACAUCUAGGCGAAGGUAUGGUAAGAGGCUGAUUGAGAAUUGGGAUGAGUUGAGGGUGAUUAGGAGGUGAGCAAGAAUUUAGGGAGAUGCAUAGAAGAUCUUAUGGGGUUGAGUGUCCAAGGGAAAAGAAAACACCUAGUGCGAAGCAUGUGUGUAGUAAAUCAAGUGAGUUGGUGAGUUGGGAUUUCAAAUUAGAAGUAACAGGGCUUCGUGACAAGGUUAAAUCUCAAAUUAAUCACAUGAAGGCGCAAGAGAGUAAAAGUAAACUUUGUGAGGUGAUUGAUUGUGAGAAAAAUGGAGAAGAGCCACAAAAGAGUGAAAAGGAAGUCGAGAGUGAACUUGAAAAGAAAGGGGAGUCGUUGGAGGUGAAAGGGGAAUCGGAAGUGAGCUUGCAUAAAGAUGAGGUUAAUAUUGAGGAGGAGUUGGCGAACACUAACAUUUCCCUCCUUAUUUUGAAUAAUGCUAUUUUGCAGGUCAUCGAAGAUUUAAUUUCAGAAAAUAAUCCUAUUGAAAUCCCUUACAAUCCGAGCAUCGAAAAUCAAUUGGUGGAUAAACUUCAGCAACAACCGCAUCUUGCUUGGGAGAUAUCAUAUAUAUCGGAGAUUGGAUUUGUGAUUCCCGAGGAGACAACGGAGUUUCAAAUGCGAUGGAAGAAAUUUGUUUGCAAGGAGUUCAUAUGCAGUGGAUUGAACUACAAAAUUGGUAUGUCGGGAAAUAUGUAUCAAUUUGAAUUGUCAUUACUACAAUCACCUGGGUCGAGUAAAGCAUGAAAAAUGAACGGUGAUUUAUCAGCUGAAAUCAUUCUAAGAACAUCACAAAAUGGCAAGAGGAAGUCGUCAAAACAUAUACAUUUUGAUCCAUGUAAAGGAGAUUGGAUUUACAUAUGAAAAAGAAGGGUUUGAAUUCAAAAGCAGUCCAAAUUGCAUCCGAGGGGAGAUGGACCAUUUCAUGUUCUUGCUUGAUUGGAGAUAAAGGCUAUAAUUUGAACAUUCAAGGUUUGGAUUCAAGGUUGAAUCCUUUCGAAGAGGGAGGGACUGAUAUGAUCC